This 501-nucleotide ribosomal RNA is filed under the name uncultured bacterium. RNAcentral's name for it is "partial 16S ribosomal RNA". It matches the Rfam family "Bacterial small subunit ribosomal RNA", at positions 29 to 523 of the family's 1533-position model. The record is from RNAcentral.
AUUGAACGCUGGCGGCAUGCCUUACACAUGCAAGUCGAACGGCAGCACGGGUGCUUGCACCUGGUGGCGAGUGGCGAACGGGUGAGUAAUACAUCGGAACGUACCUUAUCGUGGGGGAUAACGCAGCGAAAGCUGUGCUAAUACCGCAUACGCCCUGAGGGGGAAAGCGGGGGAUCGCAAGACCUCGCGCGAUUAGAGCGGCCGAUGCCUGAUUAGCUAGUUGGUGGGGUAAAAGCCCACCAAGGCGACGAUCAGUAGCUGGUCUGAGAGGACGAUCAGCCACACUGGGACUAAGACACGGCCCAGACUCCUACGGGAGGCAGCAGUGGGGAAUUUUGGACAAUGGGGGAAACCCUGAUCCAGCAAUGCCGCGUGAGUGAAGAAGGCCUUCGGGUUGUAAAGCUCUUUUGUCAGGGAAGAAACACCGGCUCUAACACAGUCCGGGAAUGACGGUACCUGAAGAAUAAGCACCGGCUAACUACGUGCCAGCCGCCGCCGUAA